CCUACGGGAGGCUGCAGUGGGGAAUAUUGGACAAUGGGGGGAACCCUGAUCCAGCCAUGCCGCGUGUGUGAAGAAGGCCCUCGGGUUGUAAAGCACUUUCAGUGAGGAAGAACGCCUGGUGGUUAAUACCCAUCAGGAAAGACAUCACUCACAGAAGAAGCACCGGCUAACUCCGUGCCAGCAGCCGCGGUAAUACGGAGGGUGCGAGCGUUAAUCGGAAUUACUGGGCGUAAAGCGCGCGUAGGUGGCUUGAUAAGCCGGUUGUGAAAGCCCCGGGCUCAACCUGGGAACGGCAUCCGGAACUGUCAAGCUAGAGGGCAGGAGAGGAAGGUAGAAUUCCCGGUGUAGCGGUGAAAUGCGUAGAGAUCGGGAGGAAUACCAGUGGCGAAGGCGGCCUUCUGGACUGACACUGACACUGAGGUGCGAAAGCGUGGGUAGCAAACAGGAUUAGAUACCCCAGUAGUC
RNAcentral lists this ribosomal RNA (465 nucleotides) under Vreelandella stevensii. Its description in RNAcentral is "partial 16S ribosomal RNA". It matches the Rfam family "Bacterial small subunit ribosomal RNA", at positions 338 to 795 of the family's 1533-position model. The record is from RNAcentral. Lineage: Bacteria; Pseudomonadati; Pseudomonadota; Gammaproteobacteria; Oceanospirillales; Halomonadaceae.